CCACCUGACCCCAUGCCGAACUCAGAAGUGAA
Molecule: ribosomal RNA, 32 nt
Filed under: Enterobacter cloacae
Lineage: Bacteria; Pseudomonadati; Pseudomonadota; Gammaproteobacteria; Enterobacterales; Enterobacteriaceae
Also listed under: 13 other names
Source: RNAcentral